Mus caroli (Ryukyu mouse) is the source of this 779-nucleotide long non-coding RNA. RefSeq lists it as uncharacterized. The record is from RefSeq and is a predicted model, not a curated record. Lineage: Eukaryota; Metazoa; Chordata; Mammalia; Rodentia; Muridae.
AAAACCCAAAACAACAUCAGGAACCUUACACAAGAGAGAGAGAAGAAGAAGAAAAGGAGGAGAGGCUAUGCAAAAAGACAAUUAGAAAUUCAGACAAAAUAUUGAAAGGAUAAAGACAGCAUCUUGAAGAAAUCAGGAGACAAAAUAAAUGUUACUGAUGAUGUCUCAGAAGAUGCACAAUCCCCGUGAGUGCUACCCAUGGGAAACUGCCAGUCUAUAAUCCUGCAUCCAGAAAACAUACCAUUUAAAAUGUACAAUGAAAGACCAAAAGAAGAUUAGGGAUCUCCUGGAGUUGAAGUAAUAGGCAGUUGUGAGUCAUCCAGCAUUGGUCCUGGGAACCAAAGACAGGAGUUUACCAUGGCUCUACACAGAAGCUGACUGAUACAAAUGCAGAGACCCACGGGCCAACAUUGGAUGGAGCACAGGGAGUCUUCUAGAAGAGCUAUGGAAAGGAUAGGAAUUCCACAGAAAGACCAACAGAGUCAGUUAACAUGGACUCUUGGGGGCUCCCAGAGACUUAACUGCCAACCAAAAAGCAAGCACAAGCCGCACCUAGCCCCCUACCCCUACACAUAUGUAGUAGAUGUGCAGCUUGGUUUUCAGGUGCGUCCCACAACAACUAGAAUGGGGCUGUCCCUGAAUCUGUUGCCUGCUUGUGGAUCCAUUCCCCUAACAGCUGCAUUGUCUGGCUUUAGGUGAGAGAGAAUGUGCCGUGUCCAGCAAUACCUGGAUGUGCUAGGGUGGCUUAGUACCCAUAACUUCCUGCCUUCUCCCAUACC